Molecule: long non-coding RNA, 923 nt
Organism: Lactuca sativa (garden lettuce)
Lineage: Eukaryota; Viridiplantae; Streptophyta; Magnoliopsida; Asterales; Asteraceae
Source: RefSeq, a predicted model, not a curated record
ACUGAGUUGGUAUUUUCUCAUAUUAUUCAACCGAUUGAAUCGGUCAAUAGAGACACACUCUAUAUGGCAUCUUAUCUCUUAGUUCUGUCAACAUGGUGUUGCCUUCAACCACUCACCCUCGCCAUCUCCCUCUAAAAAUACCUUACAAUCCAUCACUACGCUGCCAUCCAUCAUGUUCUGUAAAAAAAAAAAAUCACCAUAAACCCUAGAUGAAGUCACAUUCUUCGCUACCAGGGGUUAUUAUUUUAACUGGGCUCCUUCCAUUAUCUCAACAUUUCCCCAUAUCUUGGCUAUCUGUUCAUUGUUCUUAUAAACCCUUCUGUCUCUACUCAUAAAAGAUUUUCUACCAAGAUCAACUUUGAUUCCAUAUUUUCUGUUGAUGUCCAUACAAGGUGCUGCCUGACAAUCUUUCAUUUUAAUUCCCAUCGCAUGACAUGCAUUCAUGUCUUUCUUUCUAAUUUCCUAUUUUUUACUCCAAGAUCGGCACUGGUGAUGAUUGUGUCUCUAUUCCAGUUGGUGCAACCAAUAUAUGGAUAAAAAUUUUGCUCAUGGAUCGGAACACCGAUUCAGUCUUUAUCAGUUCAACUCACACAAAAGAAGAUGAGUAUGAGGAUUUUCACAAUAGGUGUUCUGCAUGCCUUUAUCUCUAUCCGAUUGUUAAGUGUUACAAGUGUUUGGUAUAUUCAACAACUUUAUUAGAGCAUAUGAUGGAGAGAUGCUAGAAAUGGAAGUAGAGGCUAAAUGCUUGGUUGUAUGUAUUAUGUGUGUCUUUUGUUUAUGGAUGUAUGCUGUGAUUUGUAUAUGUAUGUUGUAUCUUAAUUUUUUCUCUCUAUCUAUGUGUGUGUGGAGCGUCACUAAGAAAAUAAUUAAAAUUAAUAUUUACAUUAAUUUAAGUUUAUUUUUAUUUGUUAUGCAUUAUUGUA